RNAcentral lists this ribosomal RNA (429 nucleotides) under uncultured bacterium. RNAcentral describes it as "bacterial SSU rRNA". It matches the Rfam family "Bacterial small subunit ribosomal RNA", at positions 355 to 775 of the family's 1533-position model. The record is from RNAcentral.
UGAGGAAUAUUGCGCAAUGGGGGCAACCCUGACGCAGUGACGCCGCGUGAGUGAUGAAGGCUUUCGAGUCGUAAAGCUCUGUUAGGUGGAAAGAAACAUCCCGGCGCUAAUAUCGUCGGGACUUGACGGUACCACCAGAGGAAGCACCGGCUAACUCCGUGCCAGCAGCCGCGGUAAUACGGAGGGUGCAAGCGUUGUUCGGAUUUACUGGGCGUAAAGGGCGUGUAGGCGGUUGGCUAAGUCAGAUGUGAAAUCCCUUGGCUUAACCAAGGAACGGCAUUUGAAACUAGCUAACUAGAGUACAGGAGAGGAAAGUGGAAUUCCCAGUGUAGAGGUGAAAUUCAUAGAUAUUGGGAGGAACACCGGUAGCGAAGGCGACUUUCUGGUCUGAUACUGACGCUGAGACGCGAAAGCGUGGGUAGCAAACAG